GGUUAUGGNACUGGCUUGAAACUAGUUAUAGGAGGUUCGAUUCCUUCCUUUCUU
Molecule: transfer RNA, 54 nt
Filed under: Dremomys rufigenis belfieldi
Lineage: Eukaryota; Metazoa; Chordata; Mammalia; Rodentia; Sciuridae
Description: partial tRNA-Ser
Source: RNAcentral